This is a non-coding RNA of Viridothelium virens, 72 nucleotides long. The record is from the annotation of a GenBank genome assembly. NCBI's taxonomy places the organism in Eukaryota, Fungi, Ascomycota, Dothideomycetes, Trypetheliales, Trypetheliaceae.
GCUGUGGUAGAUCAGCGGUAGAUCAUGAGAUUGCAGAUCUUAGGGCCCCUGGUUCGAUUCCAGGUCACAGCU